UAAACGGCUGUGAAGGAGACAAGUAGGCAGUACGACCUUUCAGGGAGGAAAUGCCGUGACUGAAAGCAUUUCUAAGGAACCGGCUGUUGAAAUUCACUCCGGAGCUGACCCCUGAACGAUGGAGUAGGGGGGACCGGUUGAUGACCGUUAUUGCAAAGAAGCGGAGAAGGAUGUUUCCUUCUCAAAAAAGGGUGGUACCGCGGAUCUCUCGUCCCUUUG
RNAcentral lists this non-coding RNA (219 nucleotides) under Thermoactinomyces sp. RNAcentral describes it as "T-box sequence". It matches the Rfam family "T-box leader". Rfam says of the family: Uncharged tRNA acts as the effector for transcription antitermination of genes in the T-box leader family. T-boxes are found upstream of many aminoacyl-tRNA synthetase genes and some amino acid biosynthetic genes usually in Gram-positive bacteria. The anticodon of a specific tRNA base pairs to a specifier sequence within the T-box motif, and the NCCA acceptor tail of the tRNA base pairs to a conserved bulge in the T-box antiterminator hairpin. Lineage: Bacteria; Bacillati; Bacillota; Bacilli; Caryophanales; Thermoactinomycetaceae. The record is from RNAcentral.